CCCUUAGUAACGGCGAGUGAAACGGGCUGAGUCCAGCAUCGAACUGCCGGCCAUCUCGGUCGCGCGGCAUGUGAUGUUCGGGAGAGCCUCCUCGUAUUGAGCCGGAGCGUUCAAGUGCACCUUGACUGGGACCAUGGCCCGUAGAGGGUGAUAGGCCCGUAAGACCUCUGGCUUGAUGCGCUGGCUUUUCCCUAGAGUCGAGUUGUUUGGGAGUACAGCUCAAAGUGCGUGGUAAACUCCACGUAAGACUAAAUAUGAUCCCGAGACCGAUAGCGAACAAGUACCGUGAGGGAAAGUUGAAAAGGACUUUGAAGAGAGAGUUCAAGAGUACGUGAAACUGUAUAGUAGUAAACGGAGGGGCUCUCGAAGUCGGCGGUGACGGUUCAGGGUGACGGCGGGGUGGCCUGGGGGUCAGGGACCAGCAAUGGCCCGGCCUCUUUGUUGGCCUCGUCGGCGCCUGCACUUCGUUGCUGCUUCACGCGACGAACCGUUUUCGGCGGUCCAAGGGCUUGGGUGAAGUUUGUAGGCCUCGGCUUGCAAGCCCC
This 545-nucleotide ribosomal RNA is filed under the name Oithona dissimilis. RNAcentral's name for it is "LSU rRNA". It matches the Rfam family "Eukaryotic large subunit ribosomal RNA", at positions 77 to 642 of the family's 3401-position model. The record is from RNAcentral. Lineage: Eukaryota; Metazoa; Arthropoda; Copepoda; Cyclopoida; Oithonidae.